CAAGAGCCAUAUUAAUUUAAACAGGGGCUGAAAGUGGCAUUUGAGAGAGAAGAUACUUCCUCUCGUAGUGGACACUUGUCUUUUCAGAAGAUUUAUACGACUGAGAGUCAAAACUUUUACCAGAGACUUUCAUAGUCAGUUUGAAUUCUGCAAAAUUUCUCUUUAUCUUCUGGAAUGUAUGCUCUAGACUUGGAGUGGCUCAAGCUCUUCGAUGUGAUCCUAUCAAUGUCAAGAGAAAGAAGCACUGAAGAGUCAUAAUUGUGUCCUGAUUUAUAAAUCGGAGACAGAGGGAGACGAAAACCACACUCCAGAAAGUAGCUUAAUCGGACUCACUACUAAGAUGUUAAAAGUGAAGAGGCUGGAAGAAUUCAACACGUGUUAUAACAGCAACCAGCUGGAGAAAAUGGCCUUUUUUCAGUGCAGGGAAGAGGUGGAGAAAGUGAAGUGUUUUCUGGAAAAAAAUUCUGGGGACCAGGAUUCAAGAUCUGGACAUAAUGAGCUUUCAUGCAGCUGUUGAGAAGUCCAAACAAGUUCAGAAUCCUGAUCUUUUGUGUGUGGCCUAUAUUUUCUCUCUCUAGCAACUUGGGAAACCUUCUAUUUGUCCUUGUAUUGGGAAAAGUUUCUGCCAGAACCAAGAACCACUGUCCGUAAGUGGAGGGAAGUUCAGACUGAAGAAAGAGGCAAAACCACUUUAGGUUGAUGGAAUCUUGCUGUGUCUCCAGGCUGGAGUGUAGUGGCGCGAUCUCGGCUCACUGCAACCUCUGCCUCCCGGGUUCAAGCAAUUCUCCUGCCUCAGCCUCCCGAGUAGCUGGGACUACAGGUGCCAGCCAUCACGCCCGGCUAAUUUUUUGUAUUUUUAGUAGAGAUGGGGUUUCACCAUGUUGGCCAGGAUGGUCUCGAUCUCCUGACCUCGUGAUCUACCCGCCUCAGCCUCCCAAAGUGCUGGGAUUAUAGGCGUGAGCCACCGCGCCCAGCCUAGUCUCUGCUUUUUUAAAAAAAAUGUUAGGACAGUGGUCCCUAAACUUGUCUGUGUAUUAGAAUCACCUGGGAAAUCUUUAAAAAUUCUAAGGACCAGGUAAAUUAAAUUAUAAUCUCUGGGAAUAGGACUGAUUUUUGUAUUUUUAGUAGAGACGGGGUUUUGCCAUGUUCACCAGGCUGGUCUCGAACUCCUGACCUCAGGUGAUCCACCCGCCUCAGCCUCCCAAAGUGUUGGGAUUACAGGUGUGAGCCACCACAUCCAGCCCAGACUAAUUUUUCUGAUGACAAAUGCUGCUUGUUGAUGUGAAUUCUGAUAUGGCACACACUUGAGCCUCACUUUGUUAGCUAUUAAUUUGUGUUACUGAAUUUACAGGCCUGGAAUACAAUUUGUGCUUCUUUUUAAAUAAAUUUCAUACUUUUUUUUUAAUGGACUUGUAAUCUACCUGAACUUGAAUUUGUUGAGGGUUUACGCUAAUGAAAAUAACAGAAAGACAAACUGUGAGAUAUAUCAUGCCAUUUAUAAUUAAUAAAUCACCAAACAGAGGCACAAACUUCAAGGGCUAUAAAA
RNAcentral lists this long non-coding RNA (1546 nucleotides) under Homo sapiens (human). RNAcentral's name for it is "HSALNT0331744". Lineage: Eukaryota; Metazoa; Chordata; Mammalia; Primates; Hominidae. The record is from RNAcentral.